This 370-nucleotide unclassified non-coding RNA is filed under the name Hevea brasiliensis (rubber tree). Lineage: Eukaryota; Viridiplantae; Streptophyta; Magnoliopsida; Malpighiales; Euphorbiaceae. The record is from RNAcentral.
UAAUAAAUUUUCAUCCGCUAGAAACUAGUUCGAGGGCAAAAACUUACUAACAGUAAUAAAGUAUAUGACAAAUAUUAUACAAAAUCCUCACUCUCUUCCCCCCUUCCCUCCACUGCACUCCCUUUUUCACACAGAAGAAAUAAAAAGAAAUGACAACAAAAAGAAACAAACCACCUUUUCUGACCCACCAUAGCCAAAUCAGUAGGCUAGGAACAAUGAAUCCAAUGCAAACAACUUAUAGCUCUGCUGCUCAGGUUUUAGUCCAAUCAGGAAUUAGUUCAUUAAAGAAACGAGCAAAACCAGUAAAUACAAUGAAACCAAGAUACACCUGCGAUGAUUACCUUUCCUUUCGUCUCCUUUUUAGUGCUUA